RNAcentral lists this transfer RNA (71 nucleotides) under Camelus bactrianus (Bactrian camel). It matches the Rfam family "tRNA". From Rfam's summary of the family: Transfer RNA (tRNA) molecules are approximately 80 nucleotides in length. Their secondary structure includes four short double-helical elements and three loops (D, anti-codon, and T loops). RNAcentral also lists the same sequence under 2 other names. Lineage: Eukaryota; Metazoa; Chordata; Mammalia; Artiodactyla; Camelidae. The record is from Rfam by way of RNAcentral.
GAGGAUAUAGCUUAGUGGUAAUGUGUGUGCUUAGCAUGCACAAGGUCCUGGGUUCAAUUUCCAUUACUUCU